RNAcentral lists this ribosomal RNA (253 nucleotides) under uncultured bacterium. Its description in RNAcentral is "partial 16S ribosomal RNA". It matches the Rfam family "Bacterial small subunit ribosomal RNA", at positions 524 to 776 of the family's 1533-position model. The record is from RNAcentral.
GACAGAGGAUGCAAGCGUUAUCCGGAAUGAUUGGGCGUAAAGCGUCUGUAGGUGGCUUUUUAAGUUCGCCGUCAAAUCCCAGGGCUCAACCCUGGACAGGCGGUGGAAACUACCAAGCUGGAGUACGGUAGGGGCAGAGGGAAUUUCCGGUGGAGCGGUGAAAUGCGUUGAUAUCGGAAGGAACGCCGGUGGCGAAAGCGACGUGCUGGACCUCUUCUGACGCUGAGGCGCGAAAGCUAGGGGAGCGAACGGG